Molecule: ribosomal RNA, 1302 nt
Filed under: metagenome
Description: bacterial LSU rRNA
Rfam family: Bacterial large subunit ribosomal RNA
Source: RNAcentral
CACACGACCGUACCGCAAACCGACACUGGUGCGCGAGAUGAGUAUUCUAAGGCGCUUGAGAGAACUCAGGAGAAGGAACUCGGCAAAUUGACACCGUAACUUCGGAAGAAGGUGUGCCUUUAGUAGGUGAAGUCCCUCGCGGAUGGAGCCCAAUGAGGUUGCAAAGAAUCGGUGGCUGCGACUGUUUAUUAAAAACACAGCACUCUGCAAACACGAAAGUGGACGUAUAGGGUGUGACGCCUGCCCGGUGCUGGAAGAUUAAAUGAUGGGGUGCAAGCUCUUGAUUGAAGUCCCAGUAAACGGCGGCCGUAACAAUAACGGUCCUAAGGUAGCGAAAUUCCUUGUCGGGUAAGUUCCGACCUGCACGAAUGGCGUAACGAUGGCCACACUGUCUCCUCCUGAGACUCAGCGAAGUUGAAAUGUUUGUGAUGAUGCAAUCUCCCCGCGGAAAGACGGAAAGACCCCAUGAACCUUUACUGUAGCUUUGUAUUGGACUUUGAACAGAUCUGUGUAGGAUAGGUGGGAGGCUUUGAAGCAGGGUCGCUAGAUCUUGUGGAGCCAACGUUGAAAUACCACCCUGGUGUGUUUGAGGUUCUAACCUAGGCCCGUAAUCCGGGUUGGGGACAGUGCAUGGUAGGCAGUUUGACUGGGGCGGUCUCCUCCCAAAGUGUAACGGAGGAGUUCGAAGGUACGCUAGUUACGGUCGGACAUCGUGACGAUAGUGCAAUGGCAUAAGCGUGCUUAACUGCGAGACUGACAAGUCGAGCAGAUGCGAAAGCAGGACAUAGUGAUCCGGUGGUUCUGUAUGGAAGGGCCAUCGCUCAACGGAUAAAAGGUACUCUGGGGAUAACAGGCUGAUACCGCCCAAGAGUCCAUAUCGACGGCGGUGUUUGGCACCUCGAUGUCGGCUCAUCUCAUCCUGGGGCUGUAGCCGGUCCCAAGGGUAUGGCUGUUCGCCAUUUAAAGAGGUACGUGAGCUGGGUUUAAAACGUCGUGAGACAGUUUGGUCCCUAUCUUCCGUGGGCGCUGCAGAUUUGAGGAAGCCUGCUCCUAGUACGAGAGGACCGGAGUGGACGCACCUCUGGUGUAUCGGUUGUCACGCCAGUGGCAUUGCCGAGUAGCUAUGUGCGGAAGAGAUAACCGCUGAAAGCAUCUAAGCGGGAAACUCGUUUCAAGAUGAGAUCUGCCGGGGCCUUGAGCCCCCUGAAGAGUCGUUCAAGACCAGGACGUUGAUAGGUCGGGUGUGGAAGCGCAGUAAUGCGUUAAGCUAACCGAUACUAAUUGCUCGUGCGGCUUGACCCC